GGGCAAACCGAAGAGUUUACUCUUCGGGGUUGUAGGACUGCAAUGUGGACUCAAAGAUUAUAGAAGAAUGAUUUGGGAAGAUCAGCCAAAGAGAGUAAUAGCCUCGUAUUUAAAAUAGUCUUUGUACCUAGCAGUAUCCUGAGUACGGCGGGACACGUGAAAUCCCGUCGGAAUCUGGGAGGACCAUCUCCCAACCCUAAAUACUCCCUAGUGACCGAUAGUGAACCAGUACCGUGAGGGAAAGGUGAAAAGCACCCCGGGAGGGGAGUGAAAUAGAACCUGAAACCGUGUGCCUACAACAAGUUCGAGCCCGUUAAUGGGUGAGAGCGUGCCUUUUGUAGAAUGAACCGGCGAGUUACGUUAUGAUGCGAGGUUAAGUUGAAGAGACGGAGCCGUAGGGAAACCGAGUCUGAAUAGGGCGCCUUAGUAUCAUGACGUAGACCCGAAACCAUGUGACCUACCCAUGAGCAGGUUGAAGGUGCGGUAAGACGCACUGGAGGACCGAACCAGGGCACGUUGAAAAGUGCUUGGAUGACUUGUGGGUAGCGGAGAAAUUCCAAACGAACUUGGAGAUAGCUGGUUCUCUCCGAAAUAGCUUUAGGGCUAGCGUCGACAUUAGAGAUUCUUGGAGGUAGAGCACUGUUUGGGUGAGGGGUCCAUCCCGGAUUACCAAUCUCAGAUAAACUCCGAAUGCCAAUGAAUUAUGGUCGGCAGUCAGACUGCGAGUGCUAAGAUCCGUAGUCGAAAGGGAAACAGCCCAGACCACCAGCUAAGGUCCCAAAAUAAUUGUUAAGUGGAAAAGGAUGUGGGGUUGCACAGACAACUAGGAUGUUAGCUUAGAAGCAGCUAUUCAUUCAAAGAGUGCGUAAUAGCUCACUAGUCGAGUGACCCUGCGCCGAAAAUGUACCGGGGCUAAAACAAUUUACCGAAGCUGUGGAUACCUUUAUAGGUAUGGUAGGAGAGCGUUCUAUGUGUGAUGAAGGUAUACCGUGAGGAGUGCUGGAACGCAUAGAAGUGAGAAUGCCGGUAUGAGUAGCGAAAGACAGGUGAGAAUCCUGUCCACCGUAAGACUAAGGUUUCCAGGGGAAGGCUCGUCCGCCCUGGGUUAGUCGGGACCUAAGGAGAGACCGAAAGGUGUAUCCGAUGGACAACAGGUUGAUAUUCCUGUACUAGAGUAUGUAGUGAUGGAGGGACGCAGUAGGCUAACUAAAGCAGACGAUUGGAAGAGUCUGUCUAAGCAGUGAGGUGUGAAUUGAGUCAAAUGCUUAAUUCUAUAACAUUGAGCUGUGAUGGGUAGCGAAGUUUAGUAGCGAAGUUAGUGACGUCACACUGCCAAGAAAAGCUUCUAGCGUUUAAACAUACUCUACCCGUACCGCAAACCGACACAGGUAGUCGAGGCGAGUAGCCUCAGGUGAGCGAGAGAACUCUCGUUAAGGAACUCGGCAAAAUGACCCCGUAACUUCGGGAGAAGGGGUGCUGACUUAAAGUCAGCCGCAGUGAAUAGGCCCAAGCAACUGUUUAUCAAAAACACAGCUCUCUGCUAAAUCGUAAGAUGAUGUAUAGGGGGUGACGCCUGCCCGGUGCUGGAAGGUUAAGAGGAGUGCUUAGCGUAAGCGAAGGUAUGAAUUGAAGCCCCAGUAAACGGCGGCCGUAACUAUAACGGUCCUAAGGUAGCGAAAUUCCUUGUCGGGUAAGUUCCGACCCGCACGAAAGGCGUAAUGAUUUGGGCACUGUCUCAACGAGAGACUCGGUGAAAUUUUAGUACCUGUGAAGAUGCAGGUUACCCGCGACAGGACGGAAAGACCCCAUGGAGCUUUACUGCAGUUUGAUAUUGAGUGUCUGUACCACAUGUACAGGAUAGGUAGGAGUCUAAGAGAUCGGGACGCCAGUUUCGAAGGAGACGCUGUUGGGAUACUACCCUUGUGUUAUGGCCACUCUAACCCAGAUAGGUGAUCCCUAUCGGAGACAGUGUCUGACGGGCAGUUUGACUGGGGCGGUCGCCUCCUAAAAGGUAACGGAGGCGCCCAAAGGUUCCCUCAGAAUGGUUGGAAAUCAUUCGCAGAGUGUAAAGGUAUAAGGGAGCUUGACUGCGAGAGCUACAACUCGAGCAGGGACGAAAGUCGGGCUUAGUGAUCCGGUGGUUCCGUAUGGAAGGGCCAUCGCUCAACGGAUAAAAGCUACCCUGGGGAUAACAGGCUUAUCUCCCCCAAGAGUUCACAUCGACGGGGAGGUUUGGCACCUCGAUGUCGGCUCGUCGCAUCCUGGGGCUGUAGUCGGUCCCAAGGGUUGGGCUGUUCGCCCAUUAAAGCGGCACGCGAGCUGGGUUCAGAACGUCGUGAGACAGUUCGGUCCCUAUCCGUCGCGGGCGUAGGAAAUUUGAGAGGAUCUGCUCCUAGUACGAGAGGACCAGAGUGGACUUACCGCUGGUGUACCAGUUGUCUUGCCAAAGGCAUCGCUGGGUAGCUAUGUAGGGAAGGGAUAAACGCUGAAAGCAUCUAAGUGUGAAACCCACCUCAAGAUGAGAUUUCCCAUGAUUAUAUAUCAGUAAGAGCCCUGAGAGAUGAUCAGGUAGAUAGGUUAGAAGUGGAAGUGUGGCGACACAUGUAGCGGACUAAUACUAAUAGCUCGAGGACUUAUCCAA
This 2641-nucleotide ribosomal RNA is filed under the name Streptococcus pneumoniae. Its description in RNAcentral is "23S ribosomal RNA". It matches the Rfam family "Bacterial large subunit ribosomal RNA". The record is from RNAcentral. Lineage: Bacteria; Bacillati; Bacillota; Bacilli; Lactobacillales; Streptococcaceae.